GACGUAGGGCGCGAGCGUUGUCCGGAUUUAUUGGGCGUAAAGAGCUCGUAGGCGGCUUGUUGCGUCAGCUGUGAAAACCCGCAGCUCAACUGUGGGCUUGCAGCUGAUACGGGCAGGCUUGAGUUCGGUAGGGGAGACUGGAAUUCCUGGUGUAGCGGUGAAAUGCGCAGAUAUCAGGAGGAACACCGGUGGCGAAGGCGGCUUCCUGGACCGACACUGACGCUGAGGCGCGAAAGCUAGGGGAGCAAACGGG
Molecule: ribosomal RNA, 253 nt
Filed under: uncultured bacterium
Lineage: Bacteria
Description: partial 16S ribosomal RNA
Rfam family: Bacterial small subunit ribosomal RNA
Source: RNAcentral